GCGGGUGUCGUAUAGUGGCAGUAUAGAGGUCUCCAAAACCUUUGGCGGGGGUUCGAUUCCCUCCACCCGUGCCA
RNAcentral lists this transfer RNA (74 nucleotides) under Pseudomonadota bacterium. RNAcentral's name for it is "tRNA-Trp". It matches the Rfam family "tRNA". From Rfam's summary of the family: Transfer RNA (tRNA) molecules are approximately 80 nucleotides in length. Their secondary structure includes four short double-helical elements and three loops (D, anti-codon, and T loops). Lineage: Bacteria; Pseudomonadati; Pseudomonadota. RNAcentral also lists the same sequence under 1 other name. The record is from RNAcentral.